Molecule: ribosomal RNA, 294 nt
Filed under: Blastocystis hominis
Lineage: Eukaryota; Bigyra; Opalinata; Blastocystidae
Also listed under: 1 other name
Description: partial 18S ribosomal RNA
Rfam family: Eukaryotic small subunit ribosomal RNA
Source: RNAcentral
GAUUAAGCCAUGCAUGUGUAAGUGUAAAUAGUUAACUUUAAAACUGCGAAUGGCUCAUUAUAUCAGUUAUAGUUUAUUUGAUGAAUGUUACUACUUGGAUAACCGUAGUAAUUCUAGAGCUAAUACAUGCAUAAAUCCUCGACUUUUGAAGAGGUGUGUUUAUUAGAUGAAAACCAUAGGCUUUUUGCCUUAUUGUGAGUAAUAAUAACGUAUCAUAUCGCAUGCUUCGGUAGCGAUGUGUCUUUUAAGUUUCUGCCCUAUCAGCUUUCGAUGGUAGUGUAUUGGACUACCAUG